UGGCAGCGGUGAGAUUCGAACCCACGCCUCAUUAAAAUUGGUGCCUAAAACCAGCGCCUUAGACCACUCGGCCUUACUACC
Molecule: transfer RNA, 81 nt
Filed under: Cordylochernes scorpioides
Lineage: Eukaryota; Metazoa; Arthropoda; Arachnida; Pseudoscorpiones; Chernetidae
Description: tRNA-Leu
Source: RNAcentral